CCGCUUCAGGUAGCCCUUUUCCCCCAGGCCGUUGGUGCCGCCAUUGGGAUCUCCCCAGCCCCCACUCACCAUGGCCAUUGCUUGGUUACCGAACCAACGAGGAAGAGCACGCCACAGUCAGGCAGCCGAGAUUCGUCAAGGCUGGUUUUGUUGUUGUCGUCGAAUCCGGACCGAAACCAAGCCGGCCGAAGGGGGUCUUCACUGUCAACAAUCAGUCGUUUGGCGACUGUGGAGAGAUGAGAAAGCUCUUGUAAAUGACCUGAGGUGAAAAAUUGACUGCAAAGACACACAUACUCAGACAUACAUACACAGCCCAGUCUUUAGCUAAUGACUGAAAUAGGAAACUAAUGCGGCACAAGCCUGUGCAGGCUUUAACGCCGAAUUCCCUCUUCCCCAUACAGUUACCCGCGCCAAUAUAAAUCUUCCAACGCUUACCUCCGAUUGAGCAUUAAUAUGUCCGUAGCUAUAAAUCCUCUGCCGCUAGAUCUUCCCGUCCUCCAUCCCGAGAGCGAGUGCAGCUUUCCUACUCUGCUGUAAUCCUCUCAGCGGUACCAUCGUGACCCACAAAGUGAAGCUAUUCCACGUCAUUUGCUCAUGUGGCUGGAGGCUUCUCUUCAAGGCUCCGCCAAAGAAGAAGAAAAAAAAAUGUGUCUGCGCUGUCAAGUUGACCUCCAAAUUGCACUCACGCACACGCACACAAGGCGAUGUGGGUUCAACACAAGGAAGUGCUGUCCUUUCCUUCCUCCUUCCCAGAAGCCUUAGUUGUGCUCCGAGCUUCUCGUUUGCAAGCCUUUUGUUGGUGCUUGGCCACCAAGAACUAAUGAUGUGCGGCCUAGCUGCUGCUUUUCAUCUGUGCGUGUGUGUGCGUGCGUGUGUGUGUGUGUGUGUGCCUUCCCUUGUGGCAAGAAGAGGUGGGGGGUGGAAAGCAAGAGUGCGCUUACUUUCUCGCUUCCCAGGCGUCCACGCAUCCAGUUCGCAUUCAAGAGAAAAUCCAAAGCUACAGACUAUUUGAAUUAGGCUCUACGUCUUCCUCUCGCUUUAUCUCUUUUUUCCCCCUCUAGCCUAUUUGAGUGUUUCAGAGAGAGAGAGAGAGAGAGAGAGAGAGAGAGAGAGAGCAAGCGAGCAAGCAGGAGAGGGCGAAAGGCAUAGGGAGGGAGGUGGAGUGUGUGCAGAGGGGGAGGGGUGCGUGUGCAUGUGUGUGUAUGCUUGUUCUGAGGGAUUUGACACUAUUCAAACCCUGUGGUUGCCAUGGCGCUGGUUGCCUUAUAUGGGCAUUGGAGUCAAAAGAGCAAAGAGAGUGGGCAGUGUGGGGCACACACAGCAAGAAUGCGGAGGAUAUCUGCUGAGAUGCAAAGAGCAUGACCCCAAGGCUUUAAAAAAAAAACGCAUGCAGACAAUACCAGAUUACUCGCUGCUACAAAUACAAGCAUGCUGGCUGGCCUUUUGUUUCACAUAAAGCUAUUCAGUGUUAACCGAAUGGCGAAGAUGUGAACUUUCUCUAUUUCAUGUAGAGUGAUGCCUUGAGAUAUGAGUUUAAUUUGUUCCGUGACCAUUUUCGUUAAGUCAAAACCCUCGUAACUGAAAUCGGCUUUCCCCAUUGAAGUGAAUGGAAAUGCCAUUAAUCCGAUCCAGCCUUCGCCAAUAAAACAACUGUGAUGCAUAUUUUCACGAGGAAAAAAAUGGUCUUGUACUUCAUAAAAACAUACAGUAAUGACACAAUUAAAUAGAAUGUAAAUAAUGAAACCAUUUUUUGUUUUCACUUUUUGCUUCAAUUCAGUGGCCAUCAUUCUGCUCCUGGUAUAGUACAGACAUGCGGAUAUAUAGUACAUGUAGACAGAGGAGCUGUCACAACUCCACAGUAGUAAUAUUGGCCAUUCUUUGCAGAAGAUAAAGAAUAUAUUCCUCGCUUAGUGAAGCACACAGUGAGAGGUCAAACAGACUUUGGUACCCCGGCCACGGUAAAAAGCCUGAGGUCAAAUGCAGAUAAAGAGGAGGACAGCACCCAGAACAACCUCGGAUAAGAGAUAAGUAAUGAAUCUGCUUGUAAAUGCACCGCUGUUUGAAUGCGGGGGGGGUGUUGCUGUCACAGUCUCACAGAUAUGGACACAUGAAAGCACCCUGGAAGACAGUCUAUAUGCAACCUGUUGUCUUAUCUACGCGGUGUGAUGAAGGAUUUUAAGUCAUUCUGCCUUUCACAGACAUCUUUAUGGCAAUCCUAAAGCAAAACCAAGCUUACCCCCUGGAGACCACAGUGUGUGUGUCACAGAGAAGCAUUGUCCUAGACUCCUAGCCUUUGUGCAGCUAAUAGGUCAUCAGAUGGGUGUGUUGGGGGGAGGAGUGUGUGCGUGUGUGUGUUCAUUUGAAUAAAAGUCCCCUAAUUAGGCCACUGCCUGCCUGCUUGUUGUCACUUCUCGUGUGGGGUGUGCAAAAUUAGGCUUGUCAGUGAAUUAAGGGUCCUUGGAAGACGCCUGUGUGCUAGUUAGUGUAUGUGAACGAAAAUGGCAAUCUGUAGUUUUGUAGCCAAAUACACUAAACACCAAAACAAACUAGCACAAGUGUGGCUUGUAAGAAAACACAACUGAAUGACAGUGGUUAUAAUGUACAGUGGUAUGUAGAGAUACGAGUGAUCCAACUUUUUUUGAGGUACAAGCUAUCGUUGAACUGUUCUUUCUUUUUUAUUUUUUAUUUUUUUUUCUCUCAUUGACUUUAAAUUUGAGAUAAGAGCGCUGCAUUGUGACAGUGAACUCAACUCACGUCACAACAAACAGCAGUUUGGCAUAUAGUGAACAAUUCUUCCAAAAAGAGGUUUCAAGCUAUUUAUUGCUGCUCCCAGUUGAAGUUUACUGUUAAAACUAACCAUUAAAAAAAAGACAAUUGCAUGUGUAUUUAAAACAACAACUGCUUAGCUUAAUGCUAACAAGCAGUCCAAAAUGCCAUAGAUGGGCUAACAAACAGCAUUAGUGUCGCAGUUCGCAAUUUCCUGAGCUG
Molecule: long non-coding RNA, 2988 nt
Organism: Phyllopteryx taeniolatus (common seadragon)
Lineage: Eukaryota; Metazoa; Chordata; Actinopteri; Syngnathiformes; Syngnathidae
Exons: 3
Source: RefSeq, a predicted model, not a curated record